RNAcentral lists this ribosomal RNA (332 nucleotides) under uncultured bacterium. Its description in RNAcentral is "bacterial SSU rRNA". It matches the Rfam family "Bacterial small subunit ribosomal RNA", at positions 568 to 898 of the family's 1533-position model. The record is from RNAcentral.
CGUGUAGGUGGUCAGGUAAGUCAGAUGUGAAAGCCUUCUGCUUAACAGAAGAAGUGCAUUUGAAACUGCUUGGCUAGAGUACGGGAGAGGAGAGUGGAAUUCCCGGUGUAGAGGUGAAAUUCGUAGAUAUCGGGAGGAACACCAGUGGCGAAGGCGGCUCUCUGGUCCGAUACUGACGCUGGGACGCGAAAGCGUGGGGAGCAAACAGGAUUAGAUACCCUGGUAGUCCACGCCGUAAACGAUGGGCACUAGGUGUAGGAGGUAUUGACCCCUUCUGUGCCGAAGCUAACGCAUUAAGUGCCCCGCCUGGGGAGUACGGCCGCAAGGCUAAA